RNAcentral lists this ribosomal RNA (477 nucleotides) under uncultured Planctomycetales bacterium. Its description in RNAcentral is "bacterial SSU rRNA". It matches the Rfam family "Bacterial small subunit ribosomal RNA", at positions 364 to 832 of the family's 1533-position model. Lineage: Bacteria; Pseudomonadati; Planctomycetota; Planctomycetia; Planctomycetales. The record is from RNAcentral.
UUUCGCAAUGCCCGAAAGGGUGACGAAGCGACGCCGCGUGUGGGAAGAAGGCCUUCGGGUUGUAAACCACUGUCGGGAGUUAAGAAAGGUGUACGGGUAAAUAGUCCGUGCAUUUGACAAAAGCUCCGGAGGAAGCCACGGCUAACUCUGUGCCAGCAGCCGCGGUAAUACAGAGGUGGCAAGCGUUGUUCGGAAUUAUUGGGCGUAAAGAGCACGUAGGCGGCCCUGCAAGUCAGCUGUGAAAGCCUCCUGCUUAACGGGAGAAGCGCAGUUGAAACUACGGGGCUAGAGUGCGGAAGGGGAGAGUGGAACUUCUGGUGGAGCGGUGAAAUGCGUAGAUAUCAGAAGGAACACCGGCGGCGAAAGCGGCUCUCUGGUCCGUAACUGACGCUGAGGUGCGAAAGCCAGGGGAGCAAACGGGAUUAGAUACCCCGGUAGUCCUGGCCGUAAACGAUGGGCACUAAGUAGAGGGGUUUU